This 549-nucleotide ribosomal RNA is filed under the name Cylindrospermum muscicola AUS-JR/BS/MS/NT-060. RNAcentral describes it as "bacterial SSU rRNA". It matches the Rfam family "Bacterial small subunit ribosomal RNA", at positions 236 to 806 of the family's 1533-position model. Lineage: Bacteria; Bacillati; Cyanobacteriota; Cyanophyceae; Nostocales; Nostocaceae. The record is from RNAcentral.
UCUGAUUAGCUAGUUGGUGGGGUAAGAGCCUACCAAGGCGACGAUCAGUAGCUGGUCUGAGAGGAUGAUCAGCCACACUGGGACUGAGACACGGCCCAGACUCCUACGGGAGGCAGCAGUGGGGAAUUUUCCGCAAUGGGCGAAAGCCUGACGGAGCAAUACCGCGUGAGGGAGGAAGGCUCUUGGGUUGUAAACCUCUUUUCUCAGGGAAUAAGAAAGUGAAGGUACCUGAGGAAUAAGCAUCGGCUAACUCCGUGCCAGCAGCCGCGGUAAUACGGAGGAUGCAAGCGUUAUCCGGAAUGAUUGGGCGUAAAGCGUCCGCAGGUGGCUGUGUAAGUCUGCUGUUAAAGAGUCUAGCUCAACUAGAUAAAAGCAGUGGAAACUACACGGCUAGAGUGCGUUCGGGGCAGAGGGAAUUCCUGGUGUAGCGGUGAAAUGCGUAGAGAUCAGGAAGAACACCGGUGGCGAAAGCGCUCUGCUAGGCCGCAACUGACACUGAGGGACGAAAGCUAGGGGAGCGAAAGGGAUAGUACCCCCCCGUAUAAAAAA